RNAcentral lists this ribosomal RNA (466 nucleotides) under uncultured bacterium. RNAcentral describes it as "partial 16S ribosomal RNA". It matches the Rfam family "Bacterial small subunit ribosomal RNA", at positions 28 to 506 of the family's 1533-position model. The record is from RNAcentral.
GACGAACGCUGGUGGCGUGCUUAACACAUGCAAGUCGAACGGAAAGGCCCUGCUUUUGUGGGGUGCUCGAGUGGCGAACGGGUGAGUAACACGUGAGUAACCUGCCCUUGACUUUGGGAUAACUUCAGGAAACUGGGGCUAAUACCGGAUAGGAGCUCCUGCUGCAUGGUGGGGGUUGGAAAGUUUCGGCGGUUGGGGAUGGACUCGCGGCUUAUCAGCUGUUGGUGUGGUAGUGGCUUACCAAGGCUUUGACGGGUAGCCGGCCUGAGAGGGUGACCGGCCACAUUGGGACUGAGAUACGGCCCAGACUCCUACGGGAGGCAGCAGUGGGGAAUAUUGCACAAUGGGCGGAAGCCUGAUGCAGCAACGCCGCGUGCGGGAUGACGGCCUUCGGGUUGUAAACCGCUUUCGCCUGUGACGAAGCGUGAGUGACGGUAAUGGGUAAAGAAGCACCGGCUAACUACGU